Long non-coding RNA from Octopus sinensis (East Asian common octopus), 170 nucleotides. RefSeq lists it as uncharacterized. NCBI's taxonomy places the organism in Eukaryota, Metazoa, Mollusca, Cephalopoda, Octopoda, Octopodidae. The transcript has 2 exons. The record is from RefSeq and is a predicted model, not a curated record.
CCUCAUCCAUUCUCGCCACAUGACCAUACCAGCGCAAUCGUCUCUAUUGCACACUACAACUGAUGCUUCUUAGGUCCAACUUUUCUCUCAAGGUACUUACACUCUGUCGAGUAUGAACACUGACAUUACACAUCCAUCGGAGCAUACUGGCUUCAUUUCUUGCAAGCUUA